Molecule: ribosomal RNA, 489 nt
Filed under: uncultured bacterium
Lineage: Bacteria
Description: bacterial SSU rRNA
Rfam family: Bacterial small subunit ribosomal RNA
Source: RNAcentral
GAUGAACGCUAGCUACAGGCUUAACACAUGCAAGUCGAGGGGCAGCGGGAUUGAAGCUUGCUUCAAUUGCCGGCGACCGGCGCACGGGUGAGUAACGCGUAUCCAACCUUCCGUACACUCAGGGAUAGCCUUUCGAAAGAAAGAUUAAUACCUGAUGGUAUCUUAAGCACACAUGUAAUUAAGAUUAAAGAUUUAUCGGUGUACGAUGGGGAUGCGUUCCAUUAGGUAGUAGGCGGGGUAACGGCCCACCUAGCCAACGAUGGAUAGGGGUUCUGAGAGGAAGGUCCCCCACAUUGGAACUGAGACACGGUCCAAACUCCUACGGGAGGCAGCAGUGAGGAAUAUUGGUCAAUGGACGAGAGUCUGAACCAGCCAAGUAGCGUGAAGGAUGAAGGUCCUACGGAUUGUAAACUUCUUUUAUAAGGGAAUAAACCCUCCACGUGUGGGAGCUUGUAUGUACCUUAUGAAUAAGCAUCGGCUAACUCCGUG